AGACCGAUAGCGAACAAGUAGAGUGAUCGAAAGAUGAAAAGCACUUUGGAAAGAGAGUUAAACAGUACGUGAAAUUGUUGAAAGGGAAGCGCUUGCAACCAGACUCGCAGGCCGUCGAUCAUCCGGGGUUCUCCCCGGUGCACUCGGCGGUUUUCGGGCCAGCAUCGGUUUGGGUGGUGGGAUAAAGGCCUUGGGAAUGUAGCUUCUUUCGGGGAGUGUUAUAGCCCUCGGUGCAAUGCCGCCUACCCGGACCGAGGACCGCGCUUCGGCUAGGAUGCUGGCGUAAUGGUUGUAAGCGACCCGUCUUGAAACACGGACCAAG
This 322-nucleotide ribosomal RNA is filed under the name Lachnellula occidentalis. Its description in RNAcentral is "eukaryotic LSU rRNA". It matches the Rfam family "Eukaryotic large subunit ribosomal RNA", at positions 331 to 670 of the family's 3401-position model. The record is from RNAcentral. Lineage: Eukaryota; Fungi; Ascomycota; Leotiomycetes; Helotiales; Lachnaceae.